Molecule: long non-coding RNA, 2551 nt
Organism: Carassius gibelio (silver crucian carp)
Lineage: Eukaryota; Metazoa; Chordata; Actinopteri; Cypriniformes; Cyprinidae
Exons: 3
Source: RefSeq, a predicted model, not a curated record
CAGUUAGCUUAUUUAUUUUUGUAUGAACAGUGAUUUAAAAAAACCUAAUUUAACUGGUUUAUGAGGCAACAGGCAUGUGCAAGAAAAAUGGCUUUUCCUUUAAUUCUUUUGUAUAAAACUGCAUGUCUUUUUUGGCUCAUUUUGCUGCACACAACAACAACAGCUAAAAAAAAGGCUUUUUAGUAAAUGAAAAAGCAAUAAAUACAUAUUACUUUGGCCAAUGUGUAAGUUUCCCGGCUGAGCUGGUGAGAAGACACUUAGUAAAGUGUCAGUGAAAGUGAUUACAUUUGAUGAAAGAUUAUGAAAACAAGCAUUUCCUUCAGAAUUACAUCCAUGAUUCAGUCACAGUGUAUGAGCAGAAUAACACAGACUUGUGUUCAGGAGGUGAAAAUAGCUAAAGAUCUUAAAUAAAGCUACGUUGUCUAAAGUGAUGUAAUAUCUGUAUCUAAAAUAGAUUUCUUUCAAACUGAGCUACAUGCUAAAGCUAGUUUGCUAACAAUCUCUGUUGUCUUUCGCACAACUCUUUAUGCACUUCUGCUUCUGUCAUGUCAUUAAUCAUGUCUGGAUUUGUCUGGUUAGCCUCAUGCUAGUUCGCUAGCAGGUCUGUUGGGUGCAGCGACUCCAGACGCCUGAGGCCAGUGUGAGCAAAACAAGUCAUCAGUCAACGCUAAAGCCACGCUCUACUUGGACUUCACCUGGCGUGAGUGUGAGACUGAGGGGUUUAGAGGGAAUUAUAGAGGUACAAGCAUGUUUUACACUUAAAUGUUGAAACUGUAUGCUAAUGCAGGAAUGCAAAUGCUUGUAAAUAAGUUGAUUGCAUAUAUUUGGUCUGUUUUCUCUUUCAGGUUAAGUACGACAGUAAUAUAUAUAUAUAAUACUUUAAAUUUACACCAUUUCUUACCAUUCCUAGACUCGUUCAGCUGACUGUAGAAAAUGUAAAUUUCUUGUGUUUCAUGUUGACUAUAGUUUAAAUCAUCUUUCACGGAGCUGUGGCACAUAGACCCCCCUUGAAAGCAAGUCUGUUCUUUAAUUUACAUUAAAAUGUGCAUACACUAGAUUCAGUAAUUUACAUUGAGCAGUUCUCAGGCUUGUCUCAUUUAGCCUUUUAGAUAGCUCUGCCUGCAUGAGACAAUUUCAGUGAAGCUUCACCAAAACAAUAACCUGCUUUUCAACUCAGAUCAGCUAACACGGCAUUAUCAGAUUAAAAACAUUUCGUGAUCUUCUGUCUGUUCAACACACGGAAGUAGCUGAAAGCUUUGCUGACAGAGAAAUGCUAGCCAGUUUUUCCUGACGAUUCAGGUGUUGGAAAUGCUACAGAGUUUUAGCAGUGCUCUUCGAUGACUGCAUAAAGAAUUGUGUGUCAAAUCAAUGGAUUUUCAUCUAAAAAUCUUCCUUUUCUUCAUCUGCAUACCUUUGGUUAAUUCAGGUGAGAUUUGAUUCGUAAAGUCAUUUAAACUGUGACUUUCUCUGUCAGCAACUCCUUCAGCUACUUCCAUGUGUUGAACAGACAGAAAAUCACGAGAUGUGUUUAAUUUGGUCUGAUAGUAGAUCGAUAGUAGACCAUAGUUGAUCAUAUGGAUAAAUGUUAAUAAACGUAUCUGAGAAUUAGGUAUUUUCCUCACAUUGAUCUCAAUCUUUUGUAGCUCCUGAAGUGUCUCUGUUACAUAAGGACCCCUUCUCUCCAGUAGUGUGUCAUGCCACAGGUUUCUACCCAUCAGCAGUGAAUAUCACCUGGUUAAGAAAUGGAGAAGAUCACAAAGAGGAUGUGGAGCUUGGAGAGCUACUACCAAAUGAAGAUGGGACCUUCCAGAAGACUGUUUCCCUCCGUGUUACUCCAGAUGAAUGGGAGAAGCACCAGUAUGUUUGUGUGGUGGAGCACGAGACAGGGACUAUACGGAGGAAUCUGACUGAGGACGAGAUCAAGAGUAACUACGGACCUACAAAAAAAUACUUCACAAUACUUGUGGGUUUGACAGACGUGUUCACUGUCAUCCUCGUAGUCCUCGUAGUCCUGGUUAUUGUUACUGCAUUGAUUGUUUGGAAAAUAAAACGAAGUGGGUUAAUAAGAAUUUCAGACAGUAAUGAUAAUGAUGAGUCUUUAAAGGGUUUCCUCCAAUCAAGUCUCCCAGAUUUUGGUGAGGUUAUCAGUCUUCAGGAUGUGGAGAUCAGAUGAUUUCCAGCAUGCAUGUGUGACCAAAACAUGUUAAAUCAAUAAAAGAUGCAUGAGUAUGGACGUCAUGGACCUGUUUUCCCAAACAAGAUGACCACAUGACCAAAGAAACACAGAAAAAGAACACCUUAUAUCAUCUGUGUGGUGUUUCAUCUAUAAAAGCAGACUGGAGACACAUCGAUAUGAGGUGCAAAUGCCAGUCAGCUAAAGAGCACCCAGAUACUGUCUGGUUAUUAAACUUAUGUUAAUAUCAAGUGUAAUGGGAGCUUUGAAUGUACUACUGUUUGUUAUCCUGCCGUUUAACACUGGUAUUUGUAUAUAGUUUAAAUCAAAGGAAACCUUUUUUGUACAUAUACAGUUCUCUGAAUAAGAAUAAUUUGA